This 497-nucleotide ribosomal RNA is filed under the name uncultured bacterium. RNAcentral describes it as "partial 16S ribosomal RNA". It matches the Rfam family "Bacterial small subunit ribosomal RNA", at positions 28 to 507 of the family's 1533-position model. The record is from RNAcentral.
GAUGAACGCUGGCGGCGUGCCUAAUACAUGCAAGUCGAGCGAACAGACGAGGAGCUUGCUCCUCUGACGUUAGCGGCGGACGGGUGAGUAACACGUGGAUAACCUACCUAUAAGACUGGGAUAACUUCGGGAAACCGGAUCUAAUACCGGAUAAUAUAUUGAACCGCAUGGUUCAAUAGUGAAAGACGGUUUUGCUGUCACUUAUAGAUGGAUCCGCGCCGCAUUAGCUAGUUGGUAAGGUAACGGCUUACCAAGGCAACGAUGCGUAGCCGACCUGAGAGGGUGAUCGGCCGCACUGGAACUGAGACACGGUCCAGACUCCUACGGGAGGCAGCAGUAGGGAAUCUUCCGCAAUGGGCGAAAGCCUGACGGAGCAACGCCGAGUGAGUGAUGAAGGUCUUCGGAUCGUAAAACUCUGUUAUUAGGGAAGAACAAAUGUGUAAGUAACUAUGCACGUCUUGACGGUACCUAAUCAGAAAGCCACGGCUAACUACGUG